GUCGUAACAAGGUUUCCGUAGGUGAACCUGCGGAAGGAUCAUUAAUGGAAAUUUAAUUCAAGGUUGUUAGCUGCCCUUCCGGGGCAUGUGCUCACCUUGUUUUUCAAAAUCCACCUUCUCACACCUGUGCACAUAUGGUAGUCUAUUGAUUGGAAGGGGUUCACUCCCAACCAUUUAGUAUUCUACGUAUUUUUUUACACAUACACAAAGUUUUUAGAAUGUUCAUAUUUGUGAUAAACACACAUCUAUAACAACUUUCAACAACGGAUCUCUUGGCUCUCGCAUCGAUGAAGAACGCAGCGAAAUGCGAUAAGUAAUGUGAAUUGCAGAAUUCAGUGAAUCAUCGAAUCUUUGAACGCACCUUGCGCUCCUUGGUAUUCCGAGGAGCAUGCCUGUUUGAGUGUCAUGAAUCUCUCAAACUCUCUAGUUUUUUAUGACUAUUGGGUUUGGAUUUGGAAGUUGCUGGCACAAGUCAGCUCUUCUUAAAUACAUUAGCUUGGGUCUUGUAUGCUAGGAUCCUUGGUGUGAUAAUUAUCUACGCCAUGAUGUCCCUUCAAAGCCCUGCUUCUAAUCGUC
RNAcentral lists this ribosomal RNA (576 nucleotides) under cf. Agaricomycetes sp. Fun04C. RNAcentral describes it as "partial 18S ribosomal RNA". The stretch from base 253 to 406 matches the Rfam family "5.8S ribosomal RNA". The record is from RNAcentral. Lineage: Eukaryota; Fungi; Basidiomycota; Agaricomycetes.